Molecule: ribosomal RNA, 450 nt
Filed under: uncultured bacterium
Lineage: Bacteria
Description: partial 16S ribosomal RNA
Rfam family: Bacterial small subunit ribosomal RNA
Source: RNAcentral
GUGGGGAAUAUUGGACAAUGGGCGAAAGCCUGAUCCAGCCAUGCCGCGUGUGUGAAGAAGGUCUUCGGAUUGUAAAGCACUUUAAGUUGGGAGGAAGGGCAUUAACCUAAUACGUUAGUGUUUUGACGUUACCGACAGAAUAAGCACCGGCUAACUUCGUGCCAGCAGCCGCGGUAAUACGAAGGGUGCAAGCGUUAAUCGGAAUUACUGGGCGUAAAGCGCGCGUAGGUGGUUCGUUAAGUUGGAUGUGAAAGCCCCGGGCUCAACCUGGGAACUGCAUCCAAAACUGGCGAGCUAGAGUACGGUAGAGGGUGGUGGAAUUUCCUGUGUAGCGGUGAAAUGCGUAGAUAUAGGAAGGAACACCAGUGGCGAAGGCGACCACCUGGACUGAUACUGACACUGAGGUGCGAAAGCGUGGGGAGCAAACAGGAUUAGAUACCCUAGUAGUCC